This is an RNA transcript of Brachypodium distachyon (stiff brome), 3838 nucleotides long. RefSeq lists it as uncharacterized. The record is from RefSeq and is a predicted model, not a curated record. NCBI's taxonomy places the organism in Eukaryota, Viridiplantae, Streptophyta, Magnoliopsida, Poales, Poaceae. The transcript has 4 exons.
GAAGCCAAGCAGCGGCACACACACACAACGCAUUCUGCCGGUCAAAUUUCCCAACCAAGUUCCUCCGUCCCAAACCCUAGCUUCCAUGGUACAAUCGGCACCCAGCUCCCCCACCCCCGCCCCCAAAGCCGACCACCCCUCCCCGCCGUCCCGCCUCCUCUCCAAGCAUCGCCCGCGCCGCCGUGCCGCGCCCCCACGGCAGACCCCGCCGCCCCCCGCGCCCACACGCGGCCAGCCCGACCUAAACCUCUGCCGAUGCUGCGGCGCACGCUUUCCGCCGCCGCCGCCGGGCGCUAAGCCUCGCCCUGUCCGUGCUCUCCGCUCCGUCUGGCGCAUCGUCCUCCUCUGCUCAGAAUGUCUCCCCCUCAUUCGCUCUGCCGUCGUCUGCUCCUACUGCCUCUCCUUGGACAACCUCCCGCCAGAGGACUCCUCAGUCACAUGCCGCAGCUGCAACCGCUGCGUCCACCGCCAUUGCAUCCCCUCUGAGCACCGUACUGCCCUGAUCCAGCCUGUCGAUUUGGAGAAUUUCGUCUGCGUCGAUUGCUGCCCCACCCUGAAGCCAGGUAGCAAGAAUGUGUGUGCCAGGGAGCCCACAUCUUCAGUGCGUGGUAAGGGGGAGGCCGUCACUGUGUCUAAAUUGAAUUCCCCAGGGAAGACUGUGCCAGCUUCAAAGCGUGCCAAGGAGGCGACGGUCCUCAUUGCUGGAGCUGAGGGGUCAGGAAGCAAGGGCACCAGUGAUCCGGACCUGCCAGAUGAGAAGUUGGCAUUACAGCUGCAUCUGGCGAUGAACGGGUCACAGAGGAUUUCACGUUCUAGUAGUGCAUCCUGGGCAGCCUCAGGUGGGAAGGGCAAGGGGCAGAAAGUUGUGGUUUCUGCUACGAAUGCUAAUGGGGAUCAGGGGCUUUGUGUAACCAAUAUGAUGUAUGAGCUGGAGGAUGAUUUGUCUGGAGCAGAGAUGGGAGACAACUCGGAUGCAGAGCAUGAUACACUAUUAGAUCCCUCAGUCACAGUGGUUCUUGCACUGGAGUGUAAAGGUAAACAAUCUCAGGAGAGAAUGAGAGGUAAAAGGAAAGGUCCUCCUGGGACUAAUCAUAAUGAUGUGGUGGAUCGGUAUAAGAAGAAGUAUACCAAGAGGAACUCUAGUAAGAACGCAAAGGUUAUAAGUACUGGGAGCAAGACCAUGCCUGAUGGAAAGGACAUGGACCGUGAUGAUGGUGGUAAAGCAUAGCCACCAUGAUAUAGAAUGCAUCUUCUAUUUGAAGGUAACUGGUUUGCGGGAACCUCUAUUUUUUCCGCAUCUAUUUAUAUAUCCAUUUUAUAAAGGAUAAUUUCCAUUCCUUCGACGGGGAUGAUGCCUGACCGCCUCUGUGGUGCCACCGCAAGAACUCCCCCCCUCCCCCUUCGCUUCCACCAGGAAAAUCAAACUGGUACCACCACCAGAGUUGCAUCUGAUUUGAAAUCUUGUUUCUUGGUCUUCCAAACACACAGUUAGUCUAUGUACUCAUGACGUACACUUAUUCCCCGCAAUCACAUCAAGGUAAAUCUUACUUUUGAAAGCAAUCAUUCACAAAAAUAAGCCUAUUUGCAUAUCUGCAUGCACAUUCAGUUAAUAAUUGUGAGUAGUUUAUUACUCCCUCCUAUCCUAAAUUGUUGCCGUUUGCUUCAUAUACUAAAACAACGACAACAAUUACUUCGUACUAAAACAACGACAACAAUUUAGGAUCGGAGGUAGUACUUGCUAGUGUGUUUUCUAGUCAGUGGCCAAAUUAAGCGUCUAUUAUUUUCUAGGGCACUUUGCUGUGAUCUUUUCGUGAGUGCUUGAACAAUGAGAAUGGAAGUUCAGUUACAAGGAUAAGAAGUGGUAGAUAUUCGACAGGGAGGGUAUUUUGAGUGCUUAUCAGGUCGUUAUGUUAGCAUGUUUGCCCACAUCAAAAUCUAGUGCAUCCUGAUUUUAUAUGACCCACAGGCCACAGCAGGUUUGCACACAGUAGAAAUUGCUAGUUGGUGUGGGUCUGGCCAUGAACGAACUUUUCAGGUUUACAUGCGCACCACUUAGAGUUUGAAUCAUUAGGGGGUUUCCCAUUAUUAGCCAGGGAGCUGCAUCUUGAACAAGUCCUAUGUUGGAACAGCAAGGCAGCCAGAAAAGGCACGUCUUUUCCCCUUUUACGAUUAGUGACUUUGAAACGCAACAGUUGCAGUGGCGGGUGGCAAUAGACCAGGUAAUGAUGCUUUUCUGAACCAUUUUGAUUUCUUGCUGAUUAAAGUUGCUUUGUGGAAGGAGUCAUGCCAUGACAUAUAUGCACACGGGCACUUCCUUCUGUCAGAUCUCUGCCUAACAUAUUGCUGUCAAAAAAAUUUAGUGCAUGACAGGACCUGAAUGAAAUCUUGUUUGCAGGGAAAGUUGGAACACCAUAACUGUUGGCUGGCAUGCCUUUUCUUGUUACUAGAUUUGCAAAAAGCCUCGUAGCUGCUUGCCUUCAGUGCCCACCGACCAUGGAGGCACACACCCUGAGUGGUGGGCCAACUAUUCACCCUUUUCCACUUGGGUUCAGCACUCUAUGAUUUGUAGGUCCCACCACCAGCCAUUCUCCAAACUCUAAGGCGAGAGCUUUGAAUUUUUAUACCAUCGUCAGUUUGAACCGAAUCACAGUGAAGUGGUGUUAUGGCAGCCUUAGAAGAAAUAGUACUGUCAUUCUAAGCUAACAGGGAAAUAAAUGAAAUUUAAUCAAGCAUUCACUGGAUCGAUAAUGGUUCUAAUUUAGGAUAUUAGCUUCUGUAAUAGCUUAUACUACCACUACUGUCAUUUAGUAGUACUACAAAGGUUGCUCGGGUUUGUCUGUAACUCAUGCUGUAAUGCAGUAUUUUGGAAGGCAUCUAAUACACCAUUCUUUCGACUGAACAUUGAACAUUCUAAUGUAUUAAUUUCUUGACCAGUUGUUGAUGGAUGUUGUGUGGCUGGUCUGCUGGAGAAGGACUAGGGGGAGAGGAACUAUGCUGAACUGGUGGCAGGGAUGGUUACACUCACACCAUAACGUGGCCAUCGUUCAUCCUGGUGCCACGAUGUCAGGUGUUGUAGUCAUUGCUUGGAGUUGUCUUUUGUAGGGUUUUGUUACUAGCCUAAUUUAGAUGAUCUGAAGACAUGCUUUAGUUUUGUGUGUUUUUGUUGCCACUUGUCAGCUCUUCAUAGCGUCCAGUGCCUGAUAUGUUUAUCAGCUUUACUUAUAUCUCCUGCAAUGAAGUCUUUUGUUUCAGGAUCUCAUGGUAGUUCCAGUGCCCAGUUUUGUGUAAAAUUUAUGCCCAUCUCCGGAGUCUUGGUAUCCUUAACGGUGCUCCAAGAGAUACUUCUUAAAAGGUGCGGCAUUUGAUAGGAAGGCAACACAGAUCGCUCUCUAAAUCUCAGAUUGCUACUAGCUGAGAGUAGAGUACUGGUGUUGCUUCCAAAUAAAGGUGGCUACACUAAAAACAACGGCUGCUGGUUUCAAGAUAAAGGAUCGUACUCACAGGUAUCCCGUUUCAAGAAAGACAAGCUAAGAACCUCCCACAAAAGGAGGAGCAAGGAGGUUGGGGAUUCCAAGGCCACAUGCUGCGGCUGGCUACCAAUCCUCAUCAAAUAAACAAGGAAGAGAAUUUCGUCGGGACGUGUUGAUUUCCGUUCUGUUAGCUUGGACAAGUUUGUGGCUGCUGUACUGCACUAUGGAAGCACCUUUCUAUGGUUUAUCCUAUUUUGGAAAUCUUAUUCCUUAUCUUUUCUAAUUCGAGCAAGGACUUGGCUCAUACAACUCUGGAAAUCCAUGUCAAUGCAAAAUUGCAAAGUGGAGCUUCUAUUUUUUUUUUAGAA